This 636-nucleotide long non-coding RNA is filed under the name Phasianus colchicus (ring-necked pheasant). Its description in RNAcentral is "lncRNA (ENSPCLG00000009029.1)". The record is from RNAcentral. Lineage: Eukaryota; Metazoa; Chordata; Aves; Galliformes; Phasianidae.
ACUUGCUAAGAAGUCAUCUGACUUGGAAGGAUAUUUCCCAGAGAAUAUGAGAACAUAUCAGAUCAACUCUGCAAAGGAUUGGCCUUCUUCACUCAGCCUACCUGGAAUGACUUGAGGGAAGAACCUCCAUAGCUGAGUGGGGAACCCAGACCAAUGAAAUGUGAAAGAAGGUGCCUAAAACCUGACACCCCAGCUUGCCAAGGGGCAUUUUGAGAUCCCACCUCGCCUGGCAUCGCAGCAGGGGCAACGAAACUCAACGGAAGAUCCCUGUGGAUCAGCUUGUACCUUUUUCCUGCUGAAAGGCUGUGCAGAAAGCAAGGAUGAAGCAACUGCAAGAUUUAUGUUGGAACUGGUUCCCCAUGGAUCAGAAUCCCCAUCCUGUUCCCCAGACAGAGAGCAUUCGGACUUGUCCCAAGCACAGCUUCAGCCACACACCUGCAGGAUGGAAACAGGCAGAGCAAACAAUGAAACGAGGCUGUUUAUAAAGCCUUCAACACGUCAGGCAGGGAGAAGAGCCCAAGUUUCCACGUCAAGGCCUAAACGGACCAGAAUGACGCAAAACACAUGGAAAAUAUGGAAAAUGUGGAAUAAGUAAUAAAAUUAUAAAUAAAACAAAUACAAUAAAUUGGGAAUGCA